UACGGAAGGCAGCAGUGGGGAAUAUUGCACAAUGGGCGCAAGCCUGAUGCAGCCAUGCCGCGUGUAUGAAAAAGGCCUUCGGGUUGUAAAGUACUUUCAGUCGUGAGGAAGGUGUUAAGGUUAAUAACCUUAGCAAUUGACGUUAGCGACAGAAGAAGCACCGGCUAACUCCGUGCCAGCAGCCGCGGUAAUACGGAGGGUGCGAGCGUUAAUCGGAAUUACUGGGCGUAAAGGGCACGCAGGCGGUUAAUUAAGUUGGAUGUGAAAUCCCCGGGCUUAACCUGGGAAUGGCAUUCAAGACUGGUUAGCUAGAGUCUUGUAGAGGGGGUUAGAAUUCCAUGUGUAGCGGUGAAAUGCGUAGAGAUGUGGAGGAAUACCGGUGGCGAAGGCGGCCCCUGGACAAGACUGACGCUCAUGUGCGAAAGCGUGGGGAGCAAACGAGGGAUUAGAUACC
This 454-nucleotide ribosomal RNA is filed under the name uncultured bacterium. RNAcentral's name for it is "bacterial SSU rRNA". It matches the Rfam family "Bacterial small subunit ribosomal RNA", at positions 340 to 786 of the family's 1533-position model. The record is from RNAcentral.